This 72-nucleotide transfer RNA is filed under the name Ornithorhynchus anatinus (platypus). It matches the Rfam family "tRNA". Rfam says of the family: Transfer RNA (tRNA) molecules are approximately 80 nucleotides in length. Their secondary structure includes four short double-helical elements and three loops (D, anti-codon, and T loops). Further hydrogen bonds mediate the characteristic L-shaped molecular structure. tRNAs have two regions of fundamental functional importance: the anti-codon, which is responsible for specific mRNA codon recognition, and the 3' end, to which the tRNAs corresponding amino acid is attached (by aminoacyl-tRNA synthetases). tRNAs cope with the degeneracy of the genetic code in two manners: having more than one tRNA (with a specific anti-codon) for a particular amino acid; and 'wobble' base-pairing, i.e. permitting non-standard base-pairing at the 3rd anti-codon position. The record is from Rfam by way of RNAcentral. Lineage: Eukaryota; Metazoa; Chordata; Mammalia; Monotremata; Ornithorhynchidae.
AGCAGCGUGGCUCGGUGGAAAGAGCACGGGCUUUGGAGCCGGAGAUCACGGGUUCGAAUCCCGGCUCUGCCC